This 433-nucleotide ribosomal RNA is filed under the name uncultured bacterium. RNAcentral describes it as "partial 16S ribosomal RNA". It matches the Rfam family "Bacterial small subunit ribosomal RNA", at positions 36 to 507 of the family's 1533-position model. The record is from RNAcentral.
CCCUCCCUCUGUCGGCAUGCCUAACACAUGCAAGUCGAACGAGACCUUCGGGUCUAGUGGCGCACGGGUGCGUAACGCGUGGGAACCUGCCCUUAGGUUCGGAAUAACUCCCCGAAAGGGGUGCUAAUACCGGAUAAUGUCUUCGGACCAAAGAUUUAUCGCCUUUGGAUGGGCCCGCGUUGGAUUAGCUAGUUGGUAGGGUAAAAGCCUACCAAGGCGACGAUCCAUAGCUGGUCUGAGAGGAUGAUCAGCCACACUGGGACUGAGACACGGCCCAGACUCCUACGGGAGGCAGCAGUGGGGAAUAUUGGACAAUGGGCGAAAGCCUGAUCCAGCAAUGCCGCGUGAGUGAUGAAGGCCUUAGGGUUGUAAAGCUCUUUUACCCGGGAUGAUAAUGACAGUACCGGGAGAAUAAGCUCCGGCUAACUCCGUG